GACGAACGCUGGCGGCGUGCCUAAUACAUGCAAGUAGAACGCUGAAGGAGGAGCUUGCUCUUCUGGAUGAGUUGCGAACGGGUGAGUAACGCGUAGGUAACCUGCCUGGUAGCGGGGGAUAACUAUUGGAAACGAUAGCUAAUACCGCAUAACAGUAGAUGUUGCAUGACAUUUGCUUAAAAGGUGCAAUUGCACCACUACCAGAUGGACCUGCGUUGUAUUAGCUAGUUGGUGGGGUAACAGCUCACCAAGGCGACGAUACAUAGCCGACCUGAGAGGGUGAUCGGCCACACUGGGACUGAGACACGGCCCAGACUCCUACGGGAGGCAGCAGUAGGGAAUCUUCGGCAAUGGACGGAAGUCUGACCGAGCAACGCCGCGUGAGUGAAGAAGGUUGUCGGAUCGUAAAGCUCUGUUGUAAGAGAAGAACGAGUGUGAGAGUGGAAAGUUCACACUGUGACGGUAUCUUACCAGAAAGGGACGGCUAACUACGUG
Molecule: ribosomal RNA, 495 nt
Filed under: uncultured bacterium
Lineage: Bacteria
Description: partial 16S ribosomal RNA
Rfam family: Bacterial small subunit ribosomal RNA
Source: RNAcentral